GCAUCGAGAAGUACUAUUAUAUGCACGAUUUCUUUUUCAAGGAUGGAGUUAAAAAGAAACUGGAGAAAAUAAAGAAGAAUCAUCUUUAUAUUUAUGCAACAAGAAAGAAAAAUGAAGCUACUCAUCUCAAAGCAUACUGGAGUCAAAGGUCAGUUUGUUUUGUAAUAUGUCAUACAAAAUACAGAUUGCGUUCAUUAGCCUGCGUAGUCGAAACUUAGUCUACCUUGUGAUCUCUCACCUCCAACACCUUCCCCACCAUAAUAUUGAGUUAUCUUAGAUGAACAGUCGCAUAUUGAAAAGUUUAUUUAAAAUAUAUAGGUUAAAUAUGUAUGUUUAUAAUAUGUAAAGCAUCCAUAAGUUAUUAGUUUGGACAGACUGAGCUCCCUGUUGGGAAGGGGGAGGGGCGGAAACAAACUCUGGCUCCUCACAGUCGAAGCAUAUAAUAUGUGUUUGUAUUAACGUUGUAGUAUUAACCUUUAAAAUGUGUAAUGUGUACAUUUUUUAUUUGGCACUGAAUUAUCAAUUUAUUCACAGGAAUAAAACUAUACCUAAACAAAACCAUGUCAAUGAAGAAUUGGAAAACCAGAGCCUAUCAAGAAUUCACUGCAGCCAUCAAGAACUGAUUGAAAACGAAAUAACUUCCGGAGUGCAUGAAGUAGUGUACUAUGAAGAAAGCUAUCCGGCAAAGAAAAAAUUUAAACUUGAUAGCUGCAGUUAUCAAGUUCCGGAAGGUAGAGACUCACGAUGACACCUUGGCAGCCAGGGAGUAAAAACGGCACAAGAAAUUUCUUCAAGAGAAAAUGACACAUCAGAUGAAGAGAAUAACUACUCUGUAACCAAUGUCCUGCACAAUGAAGAUGGGCAGUGUAUCUCUACAGCCAUGUCUUACACAGAAAUGCAACCGCCUCUGAAACUAUUUGAGAUGGAAGCAGGAUGUUCUUUCUGGUCAACCACCGAAGGAGCC
This is a long non-coding RNA of Bacillus rossius redtenbacheri, 964 nucleotides long. RefSeq lists it as uncharacterized. Lineage: Eukaryota; Metazoa; Arthropoda; Insecta; Phasmatodea; Bacillidae. The record is from RefSeq and is a predicted model, not a curated record. The transcript has 3 exons.